UACAGAGGGGGCAAGCGUUGUUCGGAAUUACUGGGCGUAAAGGGCGCGUAGGCGGCCUUCUAAGUCGAACGUGAAAUCCCCGGGCUCAACCCGGGAACUGCGUCCGAUACUGGAAGGCUUGAAUCCGGGAGAGGGAUGCGGAAUUCCCAGUGUAGAGGUGAAAUUCGUAGAUAUUGGGAAGAACACCAGUGGCGAAGGCGGCUCACUGGCCCGUAACUGACGCUGAGGUGCGAAAGCGUGGGGAGCAAACCGG
Molecule: ribosomal RNA, 253 nt
Filed under: uncultured bacterium
Lineage: Bacteria
Description: partial 16S ribosomal RNA
Rfam family: Bacterial small subunit ribosomal RNA
Source: RNAcentral